Molecule: non-coding RNA, 46 nt
Organism: Schistosoma margrebowiei
Lineage: Eukaryota; Metazoa; Platyhelminthes; Trematoda; Strigeidida; Schistosomatidae
Source: Rfam
GCACUGCUGAUGAGUCCCACAAUAGGACGAAACGGCCGUCCAGUGC